UUUCCGUAGGUGAACCUGCGGAUGGAUCAUUACUGAGGGAUGGACCCUCGGGGUCCAACCUCUCUCCCGUGUUUUCCGUACCUUGUUGAUUCGGUGGGCCCGCCUCAAGGCCGCCGGGGGGGUUCGUACCCCGGGCCCGAGCCCGUCGAAGCCACCUGUGAACGCUGGCUGAAGUAGGCAGUCGGCGGAAAUUAUUCAAUUAAUUAAUACUGUCAACAACGGAUCUCUUGGAUCCGGCCUCGUUGAUGAAAGACGCUGAAAGGAAGAGUACCCGUCGGG
RNAcentral lists this unclassified non-coding RNA (279 nucleotides) under plant metagenome. RNAcentral's name for it is "partial contains small subunit ribosomal RNA, internal transcribed spacer 1, and 5.8S ribosomal RNA". The record is from RNAcentral.